RNAcentral lists this ribosomal RNA (579 nucleotides) under Papiliotrema rajasthanensis. Its description in RNAcentral is "partial large subunit ribosomal RNA". It matches the Rfam family "Eukaryotic large subunit ribosomal RNA", at positions 90 to 659 of the family's 3401-position model. The record is from RNAcentral. Lineage: Eukaryota; Fungi; Basidiomycota; Tremellomycetes; Tremellales; Rhynchogastremaceae.
CGAGUGACCGGGAAGAGCUCAAAUUUGAAAUCUGGCGUCCUCAGGGCGUCCGAGUUGUAAUCUAUAGAGGCGUUUUCCGUGCCGGACCGUGUCCAAGUUCCUUGGAACAGGAUAUCAAAGAGGGUGACAAUCCCGUACUUGACACGAUGACCGGUGCUCUGUGAUACGUCUUCUACGAGUCGAGUUGUUUGGGAAUGCAGCUCAAAAUGGGUGGUGAGUUCCAUCUAAAGCUAAAUAUUGGCGAGAGACCGAUAGCGAACAAGUACCGUGAGGGAAAGAUGAAAAGCACUUUGGAAAGAGAGUUAAACAGUACGUGAAAUUGUUGAAAGGGAAACGAUUGAAGUCAGUCGUGACUGAGAGGCUCAGCCGGUUCUGCCGGUGUAUUCCCCUCAGUCGGGUCAACAUCAGUUUUGUCCGGUGGAAAAGGGCGGUAGGAACGUGGCACCUCCGGGUGUGUUAUAGCCUGCCGUCGCAUACAUCGGGUGAGACUGAGGAAUGCAGCUCGCCUUUAUGGCCGGGGUUCGCCCACGUCCGAGCUUAGGAUGUUGACAUAAUGGCUUUAAACGACCCGUCUUGAAA